Molecule: long non-coding RNA, 1725 nt
Organism: Megalobrama amblycephala (Wuchang bream)
Lineage: Eukaryota; Metazoa; Chordata; Actinopteri; Cypriniformes; Xenocyprididae
Exons: 3
Source: RefSeq, a predicted model, not a curated record
AUCUUUACUUAAUAUCCUAAUGAUUUUUGGCAUAAAAGAAAAAUCGAUAAUUUUGACCCAUACAAUGUAUUGUUGGCUAUUGCUACAAAUAUCCAGGGUGCAGGGUCACAUAUAUUUUGUAGAUAUCUCACCUCAAACAUGAUUUUCACUGACAUUGUUGUCUCACUUAAAAAAAAAAAAGCUAUUAUUACUAUUAAUUAACAUUAUUAGUGGCAAAACUGUUUGUUGUCACAACUGUUUGAACUGUGGGGUGUAAUAAUUUAUAUAAUAUUUAUAGUUUAUAAUUUUUUCAUUUCCAUAAUUUUCACAAAAUAUUGAAUUGGAUUAUGUUGAAUAAUCUUUAUAUUGUCAUUGUUUUGAAAUUGCGGGUCUGGGUAAAAUGAAAUAUAUACAUGAAAGGUAUUUUAAAAGUAGCAAAAAUGAAAGAUGACACACUGUAAAAUGUUUUAAUGUGAACUGCAUAUAACAAAAAUUUUUAAAUCAACCCCUGGGGCAUAAAUUCAUUGAUUAUAAAUAAUUUGUAAUAGAUUAAGAAAUCUGGAUACAUGAUUCCAUUUCACACACAAUCAUUCAUUUAGGAUCUGUGUGAUUGAUACAGAAGGCCUCGGGAACAUCCUCCACCCCUCGACUAAGCUGUCUAAAAAUAAAUGAGAAGAGAGGAGGAUGAGCAGGCGGAGAGGAUGGAAGGAUAAAAGAAGGAGGUUAAAGAGGGUGCAGUCUGAUGGACAAACUGCACUCCUCCCUUUCUGUCUGUAACCAUGUGUCUGACUAUGAUGAGCAUGGCAGCAUGUGCACUGUUGUCAUGGCUGGCGGGCAGGUUGUUCUGGACUAGAGGAGGAGAAGACGAAAGAGGAGACGGAGAAGGACACCUGGACAGAAUGGUGAGAGAGAAAAUAGGCGGAUAUUUUAGGUGGAAUAUAGGUGAUAUAGAUAGUGAGAAACUUUCACUGUCAUUGUCUGGAAAAGAGCAGCAGGAACAUUCUACCUAACAUCUUAUUCUGUGGUAGAAAUAAGUUCAUUAUAAUAUAAUAUAAUAUAAUAUAAUAUAAUAUAAUAUAAUAUAAACAAUGCAAUACAAUAAUUUCCCCUUAGCACAAUGGCAUACAGGAUAUUAGUCAUAUUGAUUUUUGACAAUGUAAGAUGGAAGAGCUGACAUUGUCCAAUCAGAAAGGAUUGGGGUUUUGUCCACCUGCUCAUGUGAAUUCAGCAGCACAUGGUUAAUUUUAACAGGUGAGAUAACCACAUAAUUAGUCAGCACUCAUGAGAUCACACUGGAUCAGCUUUUGUUCCCUCCCUCGUGCUUUCUGCUCUGCUGAAAAGAGCAGCGCUGUUGGUCACCAGCAUAUGUUGAGCUUUUGGAUGCCAGUGUGCCGGUGUCCCCACCAGGAUUCUUAAAGUUAAUUAUGGAGGAUUAUAUAUUAGGAGAUUUAUUAGAUUCUGGUUCCAUUGCCAAUUCACUUCAUGGUUCUUGGUUCCUUUACUGUACUGUAAAACAUUCUUUUAUUGUUCAUUUUUAGGGAGAAUGUAUGUAAACUGUAAUUAAAAUAAUUCUUAUUGCAUUAAGUACACUCAGAAGUCAUCUGUUGAAUUAAGUGAUCAUUUCAAAUUUCAGCUGAACAUUAUUAACAAAUUACCAAAAAUGUGUAACACUUUACAAUAAGGUUCAUUAGUUAACAUUAGUUAACAUGAACUAAUAAUGAACUGCACUUAUACAGCAUUUAUUAA